Molecule: long non-coding RNA, 9136 nt
Organism: Serinus canaria (Common canary)
Lineage: Eukaryota; Metazoa; Chordata; Aves; Passeriformes; Fringillidae
Exons: 3
Source: RefSeq, a predicted model, not a curated record
UAUGCUUUUAAGUGCAAGACCAUGUGCAAAUAUUCCUGCUUUGCAGAAAGUUUCUGAGGCAUUUAUUGGCUGGGGAGGAAACCAGAGACAAAGCAAUGUUGUGCUGUAAGGUUGCACAUUCCCUGUUCUCACUUCCUUCGAUAGUGGCAGUGGAGGGAAAUGUCAGCUCUACAGCCAUCAAGGUGUUAUGCAGCUAAGUUGACACUGUGCCAGAUUCCUUUGGGCUGAAGCUUCAUUGGCUGAUGCCAGGCCAAGAGAAAGUUUACUACAGCACAGCAGUAGUUGUGGAAGGGUUUAUGGAAGGAGUAAUUUAUAUAUGUUUAUGAGAUGUAAAGCAGGGCAGAAUCUGACACAGUAGUUGCCGUUGGAUUUGAGACAGAUGGGGUUUACUUGCCUCCAGCCUUCACACCUGGGAGAGGAAAGAAGUGUGUCUGGAGGCAGGAUGUGCAUCACAGGGGGCUGAGGGGAGGAACAGAGAGAAGCAGAAUUGCUUUCACAAGUUAAAACAAAUCUCAUUCACCAUGAGCAGGUCUGUCUAAGGCACAUCUCUGCUUCCCUCUCCUAAGAAGGGAAAUAAAAAUAUUUAAUUUUUUGAAUGCUCCGGUCAAUUGGGUCCAGCCUGAGCAAAAAGAUCUAUAGCAUUCACUAUAGCAUGUAGCAGGAGUGAAGGGCUGUAUCCAAAUCAAAAUAUGUCCAUGUCCCUAUAAGAAAAGUGCUGUUCUAAACCAGGCAGGUGUAUUAUUUUUAUAUAUAUAGAUGUUAUGCAUAGCAGUCCCCAAGCCUGACACGAAUCUGAUUAGUCACCAUGGCUACCUAUAAACAUGAAUAAAGAAUAGAGGCAGUGUUGGGACCUGAAACCACAGCUCUCUUCUCUUAGGAAAGUGCAAACUUAAUGCUCUUGGACAUGCUCCUCUUCCUGGUGUGAUGCAAUCAACUGGCUCUCUCCUGGGUCUGUUAGGUGUGUAUAUCCCCUGCCCUCCCUCUCACUGGGGCUCCUUGAAGCAGUAGUCCUUGAGCUGCUGUGGGUCCUGGGGUGCUGACAGAGCCUGACAUCCUGUCUUGUGUUGCCACUGAUAAAUCCCUGAAGUCCUUGGUUGCAGAGGGCUGCCCUAGCUCAGGUCGUCACUAGCUUGGGGCACUCUACACCACGCUCUGCUGCCCAGGUAUAAACACAUUUUAUGUCACCAGAUGCACACGUCACAUGUAACCACUCUCUCCUGUGCACUGAGUGACUCAAAGCUGCAAACCUGGGCAAAGCUCCCAUGUUCUCCCCUUUUCCUGUGCCAUGAGCACAUGAUGGGAUUUGCCAUUGCAGAAUGAACAUAAAAUCAGUCCUGCUUGGGCAGUUUGCCCUUGGCGAUUUUGCUUAGGUCCUUGGUGCUGCGGAACCAUUUCCCUAGCAGCCUCACUUCUCUGGCAGCAUUAUUUUUAGGGAUUCCCUUGGCACUCCUUACUGCCUUACUGACCACUACCUCUGCCUGUAUGGGUGACUGUUGGAACAGCAGCUCUGGUAGUUCCAUAAAAACUCCCUGUGAAUUGUACUCUGUAUAUAGAAUUCUUUUCUCUUUCCUGUGAUUGUCUCACUCAAUGAAGAUCAAUUUUUGUUGAAAGCUGGCAGGAUUUAUAUUUUUAUUCAGCUGCCUGGAUCCAGCAUUUCUCCUUUUCCCCCAGGAUAAAUCAUUUUAUAUUCAUUCUUGCUUGGCAUAAUGAAGAGCUGACAUGAAGAGUGGCUUUGAGAAGUAGGUGUCUUCUCACCAUUCUCUCCAUCAGAUUCCAAGGUGGAAAGCUCAAGAUGGAUAACCAGGCCACCACAAUGGGACAACAGAAAUACCACUCAAAUAUUUAUUUAUUGCUCAACGAGACCUCAAAAUGCCCUUGACUCCUGGGUGGGACAAAAGGAAUCUCUUGCCAAACACGCUUGGAAUAAAUGAAAACCACUCCUCACAGGGAGUCUGGGGUAGGAGGAAAGAGAAUAAAAGGGAAAAAAAUAGAGACAUUUUUUUAGGACAAGGAGAAAACAUUCUAAGGUGCCAAGCCUAAGGAGCUGGCAGUGAAGUGGAGGGACGUGUCCCCUGGCUGUGUGUGGCAGCAGUUGCUGUAGUACUUGUACGUGCCACAGUGUCAGACUGGCACACAGCCACUGAGAAUGGAACCUGCUGGAGGGGCUGCAGCGGGUGAUGGAUGGGUUCAGGGACCUCAUUAGUACUCUCUGCCAACCCCACAAGAGCUUUGUCAUGAGAAGAACUGUUUUAAUUGUGCUGAUGCUGUUCCGUUGUACAGAAUCAACAAUUAUUGUUAACGAACAUGGGGGUCAGCGAGGCAGGUCUCUGGGGCUGGGUUUCCAGUGGAUCAGUGCAAACAGAAAGCAGGAGGAAACUAGUAGGUCGGCAGUGUAAGACCUGGCAGAAUGUCUGGCAGAGCCCUGAAGAACUGCAUAUGUCUUUAUUUAACUGCAGCUCUGCAAGUGGGAGAAACAUAUGACAGCUAGAAACUAUCCUGAUGCUAGUCCUAGAUAGCAGCCUCUGGCUCUGAUGAAUGAAGCCUUGGCCAUCCUGGUAACUCACCCUCCAGUUUCCUCCUGAAAAACAUGGGUGUUUUUAUCCCUCAAAAAAGACUGAAAGAUUGCACUGGAUUAGUAUUUCAUGGAGUUGGAAGGGACCUUUAAAGAUCAUCUUAUCUAACCCCCUGCCUUCCACUAGACAAAGCUGCUCCAAGCCCCAUCCAACCUGGGCUUGCCUACUUAAAGGGAUCCACAACUUCUCUGGGCAACUUGUUCCAAUGCCCCAUCAUAAGAAAUUUCUUCCUCCUGUCCAAACUUUAAUCUACCCUCUUUCAGUUUCAAACCACUGCCUUUUGUCCUCUUGCUACAGACCCUGAUAAAAAGCCCCUCUCCAUCUUUCCUGUGAGUCACCUUUGUAUGUUAAAAGGCAGCACUAAGGUCACCCUGGAGCCUUCACCAGACCAAGCAACCAAAACUCUCAGCAUGUCUUAGUAGGAGAGGUGUUUGAUUUUCAUGGCUCUGAAAUUUCUCCUUUCAUAACAAAUCAGUGAAACUGCAAGAGAGAUGGGCACAGUGCUGCCUCUGCAUCUUUGUAGGUAUGCAGUUACUCUUGCCUUACUGUUGAUUGCUGAAACAUUUUUCUCUUCUGAUUCCUUUAAUAAAAGGCAGUGAUAGCUAAAAUUUUUUAUCUUACCUGUUGAGUAAGGCUUCCACUAACUCUUCUUUCCUGAUUAAAAAGAAAAAUAAAUCCAAUACUGUUUCUUCUUCUGAUUCUUCUCUGCUACAGUUGGUUUACUGAAAAAUGGAGUGUCAUUUCACAGAUUCCACAAUGUUCAUUUUUAUUUUAUACAAUUCAAUCUGAGCUCCUUCUACAAUGCUGAAAACUAGGACUUGGAAACCGAGCCUCCAGAAGGAAUAUGGCAGGCCAAGGAUAAAAAGUAUACAAAUUUAAAAAGCAAUAAACAGUACAAAUCCAGGUUUCCCAAUUUCACCUACAAACCCAACCCAACAUAUUCUUUCAUUUUGUCACCCUCCUUUGCUACCUUUUGAUCUUCAGAGCCUGACUGGGUGCCUCUUGCCAUGGGUGAUGGUGUGGUUACAGGGGUGGGUGGCUGCCCAAAACUGUUCCCAUGUGGACCCCUACUGCCAUGUCCAGGCAAACUUCAUCCUCUUCCUGAUCUGCUGCUGUCUGCACCCCUCCUCCUCCUCCUCUGAGAUCUUUAACCCCCCAGCUUCCACUGCAGAGAGUUUGGCUUCCACCAUGCCUGCAAAUCCUGAAUGAAUCAAGUACAGUGAUAUCCACAUAUAACAGCAGGUAAGUAAUGCUUAUAAAUACCUCACUGCUGUUUAAAAAAAGAGAAAGGCAAAGCACAAGUAAAAUGAAUUACAUUUAGGCAGCAGAAUCUUAAUCUUAAGCUUGAAAUUUUAGGCCUGAUCAUGAACCUGCCCAAAGCCAUGAAUUUCCAUAUGCAAGAUGCAGCUUCAAAAUAUUUUUCAAAGCUUUGUGUUUGAACUGUGGAAAACCAGAGAUGAGGAGCAGUUUCUAAAGGAGAGAGGAGAGGGAGGAGAGGCCCUUCUGUCACACUGCACCUUUCAUCUCCAAACACAAAGGACUGACAUGUAGGAAAAGAACAAAUGUGAGCCAAGCUGCAGCACCUCAGCCUGAGGUUGCAGCCUGGCAUCACCUCCCUUGCAGCAGCCCCAAGCAAAGGGCAUGGCAAAGGAAUGGGAACAGGAAACACCAGAAUGUUUUUUGUGACUGCUUUCCCCACCUCUAAGGAUUUACAUCUCAGGGGCUUUCAGGGACAGUAGUGGUAUUUUGUGUUUAAAAGUCACUGUCUUCACUAAUGAGUUUUGAAGUCUCAUGCUAAAAUGCAAAUUUUUACCUGUGGCUUAUGUUGGAUUUUGUUCAGAAGCACUAAGCAAAAAUCUAGGUUAUAGGAACAGAUGCAUUCAAAGACCCCAGUGCCACCACUAAAACUGUGACAGUAUGUUGUGUUUGUAAACAGUAUGUGACUCUGCCUCUGGUAUUUUUGUCCUUGGAUGCAUUUCUAAGGUGUUACAACUUUCUGUUGGUACUGACAGAGCUUGACAUUCAUGCAAAAACAUGUGGAGCACUUGGAAUUAGGGGAUGCUUGGUUCUGUCUGGUUAAAAAAAACCCUCCCAAUUGACAAAGGAUGCAGUUUGCACCAGCUCAUGAGGAUCUAAAAAAAAGGGCCGAAUUCCAAGGAUCAAAGGAAAUGUUGCCUCGGACCCCAACUCUCAGCGUUUCUCAAGCUCUGUAUGAAAUCACCCUUGCUGCAUGGUUUUCUGCAUCUCUGUCUAAGAUAAAAUUUGCCUUGAAGUGAAAUUGGAUUUUUGGAAGCCAGAGGGGAUUCCAGCCAAGAAACUAAGGUAAUGUUCAUCAGCAAAAAUUUGACCCAAGGCAUUAUUGAGCCUCUUAGGCCUGUGUUAUAUAUCAGUAAAAUUCUUCCCAGAGAGCUGUUCUCCAAAACAGCAACUGCUUAUUGCUCUCCCUUUUGCCAUAAGCCAAGCUAAUAAAUGUAUUUUUAAUUGAUGUAAUGUAAGUAUUGGAGGUUUUUUUUGGGGAAAAAAAAGAACUAUAAUUUCUUCAGUUAAGCUGGAAUACUUGUGAGAUCAUUUUAAAUAGGUGUCUUCUAGAAAGCUUUGCUAUUUCUUCAUUUUUAGUACUUACCACAAGCUAUUUCAGACGGGAGCUGUCAGAGCAUCAACAAAAAGUUGUUAAAUGCAGGCUAGCUUCCAGAGAGCUCAGGUUUUUGCUGAAGCUGUGCUAUAUACUGAACGCAGAUGUGUGUCUGCACCUGUGUGUCUGUCUAUAUAAGCAUGUAACUUACAAAAAACUCACUAAUAAAAGAUUCAUCUGCUGCUUAUUAUACAGCUUAAGUGCUCCUGCAAUACUGAAAACUCAAGUUUUUCUGGCAUGUGAGAACAAGCAAGUGAACUUGCCUGAUAGAUAGAAAGCAAAGUCUGCUCCUGAAGACAGACUGACAGUUCAAGAGCAAGGAAGUGCAGAAAGGGUAAUCCAGAAUCCCUUUUAAGUUUGCUUAAUAAUAAGGUUCUCUCCUCUUCUGAGAAAAUCAAAGAUUACACUCAAACAGGUAAAAGGCUUUUUAAUUUAAUUGUUUUAACUGAGUUUCUUUAUGCAAUUUUCCAUUUGAUUUAAUUCUAUUUAGUAUGAUAAAUGCUGCUUAAUCUGAAAUUCUUUUCCUUGUCGUUUUCAUGUAUGAAAACCAGAGAUGAAAGAUUAGCUUCUAGUGACCUGCAUCAAAACAUAAUUUGGCUGGAAACGAAAUGAAUUUGGAUUUAGCUGUAUCUCUUGGAUAGUUGUGCUGCAACAACAAAUCUUCAUAAAGUUAAGCUGCCUCUGCUCAAGGAGUGGAAGAGGUUGUUCAGACUGCGAGAAACUCCCGCAGUCUCUGCCCUGCCUGUGUGUGUCUGACUGAGAGUCAGUGCCAUCAGAUCCUCAAAAUGUAAAGGAAUUUAGGAUUUUUAAGUAAGAUUACAGCAGCAGCUUUUCAUGGUUUAAUUAUUUUAUAUUAGAGGCUGCUGAAUGAUGCGUUCGGUGAGCUGAUUGCUUUUCGGAGAGCAUUAAAAGAUUUACUUGCUUGCUGUUUCAAACAUUUGGAAGUUUUUUGCAGUGGAAUUGAAGGGAGCCAUGGAGCAAAUCAUGUCUCUCCUUGGGUGCUGGCAUCUCGCUUCCUUGGUAGCUUGGACUGUGUGGAAGGAAUUGUGACAAAAUUGCACAGGAGGAAUAAGCGGUCAUGAAACUGCAUGGACGGGCAUUGCAGCAGGAGAGGCUGCCAUCAGCACUGGCUUGAGAGGAAUUGGUGUCCUAUGGCAGGGACUGGCAUUUACCAAACAGGAAAAUGCCCAGGACAACAAUGCUUCCUAAUAAUAUCAAACUGAUGAGCAAAGAAAUAGCACCCACAUUCUCAAAUGAUGAUGUGGCAAAGAUCAAGAAAUUCAGCAAAACUCAAACCAAAGUAAAAUAUAAACUGCUCUAAUACUGGCUAAUGGAUAAUGAGAUUGCAUUUAAUGUUGGUAAUGUGCAAUGUAAGUGUUUGCUGUUUCUUAAAUAGGGUAUCUUUGACCAUUUAAGCAAGCCUUUAGCAUCAAACAUUCAUGGCCAUGAGUAUAUUAAAAGAGCCAUUUUUUGUAUGCUACUGCAGGGUAAUGAGAAUGUUCUCAACAAUGGGGCAUGCAUUAAAGGAGACAUCAAUAUCUUAUUAUUAGGCAAGAGCUUGUAGAGUUAAUAGUGCAUUGAUAAGUUAUUUUAUUAUCCCCCCUCCUCAUCAUGCCAGCCUAGCUCUCUUAUGCAAUAUUAGCAAGAAAAUAAAAGCCAACCCAGUACAAAGACUCAUUUUGCCUUAUACAAGAAUGUUUGUUAGUGUCUUAGGAUCAAUUUAUUUUAUCCUUGGGCACAUUUUUACAAUUAUUUCUGUUUUGUCCCACACUUCCCUAUUUACUUGACAUCUGUUCUAUGUUUCUAGCUAGUGCUGGCACGAUGCGCAAUCGCGUCUAAUCCUGCGCUGCUCACUCGGGCAAGACAGCCACUGAUUUCACCAAUGGGCUCCCCUUUAUCUCCAAAGUCGAUGGAACUAUUCUACUUCUGUCACUUGUAGUCACAGUAGCUGUUCAGUUGUGACUUCAUUCCUAAAUGCUUUGUUUUCAGUACCCAUAAUUAAGUUACAUUAGCUGCAGACUCAAACCUGCUCCAGAACAGCUCCUGGCAGAGAUGUCAACUUCCUUACAUAAAUCAAGCUCUUUGUGUCUCUGCAGAGCUUCAGUCAAAUAUUUGAUAACUUGCUUUAAAAAAUAGAAUAGCCUAAAACAAAAUCCUUGUCAAAUCUUUUGGGUAUGUAGUUUCUCUCCAUAAGAGGGCAACUUGAAAAUCUUCCUCCACAGGACCCUGCUGUGGCAUUUUAACCAUGUCAGUACAGGUGGGAUCUGUUGGCCAACAGCCCCUUGUCCAGAGCACUUGCUCAGCACCUGCAUUGCCUGGCUGGGUACCCAAAAGUGGCACACUGGAGCCAUGGAAGUUCAAAGCAGGUGUCUAAUGGCACUCAAUGACAUGCUAAUGUAUCUGCUGCUUUCCAAAGGACUGUCUGCUAAAGCUUCAAUAAAGCCAGAAAUGGGUCCCUUAAUGAAAUGCAAAGCUAGGAGGGGCAUAGGCAAGUUUCUUUGAAGUAUGGAACGAGAUCGUAAGUUAAAAAUUUUAAAUAUUUAUCCUGGGAGGAUUCUGAAGAAAGAACUCUAAUUAAAGGAAAGUACAUUUUGAGCAUUUCUAUCUCAUUUAUUGAAACAGUAGAAUUUCUGAGGAUGUCUUUAGUACCACCUGUGUUGUACUAUUGUCUAGAGGAGUGUUAGGUAUGCAAUAAUAUUGUAGUAAUAUAAACCUUUCCUUAAGAAAACAGAUUUAGUUAUUUUAUGUAUUUUUUAACAAUCUUAACCUUAGAAAUGCCAGGUUCUGUUGUUCUGUUUCUUUUCCUUCCAGUUUGAGACUGAAAUGAAAAUUGCAAUCACAAUACACACCAAUACUGUUGGCAUAACCUUACAAGUAAUUAAGCAGUUUAGAAGCUAAUUAGUGUUGCAAGAGUUCCAAGUUUCCAAGCACUCAGGAGCAUUCUAGAGAAAAAUUUGUUGGGGGAAAAAAAAAGCAAUUUAAAAUUCUGUAAUCAGAACUUUUCAACUUUGGGAACCUUUUUAAGGCUUAAGCACAUGUUUCCCCAAUGCUUUGUCUUCUUCCCAUUGCCUGGACCUGUGCUUUUGGAGAUACUGGUGAAGCAUGGAAGGCUCCUGUACAUGGAAUAAUGAAAAAUGCUGUUUUGAUUUGCUCACAAUUUUCUCCUGUUAAGCUGAAGCAGAUGGGAUAUUUAUGACAUUUAUAUGGAAGCUGUGUUUUUGAAUAAUGAAUGAAAUAAAAAGAGGAAUAAAUAUGUAGUAAAGAUGUUUCAAGGUAUUUACAAGGUUUAAGUGAGUGCUUUAAACUUUGUAAGUUUUGAUCUUCAUUACUUGAAAACAGGAAAAGCUUUGAUACUUCUCAACAUGCCUGGAACACUGUCAAAGGCAUCUUCCUCUUUUCACAGAAGGACCUUAGAAAACACUGAAUAAAAAGUACUUACAAUGAAGAUCAGGUGGUAGCAAAUAAAAGCUGCUGUAAAUGUCAUUCAGUUGCCUGGAAAGCUGCAUCUUUUAACACCACAGUCCCACACUUCCUUGGAUUUAGCAAGGUCAAGGUUAGCAUCCCCUGGGUUAAUAUUAUCAGAGACUCCUGGUACUCCUGGUGCCACCACCUUCAUCCAGCUCUUGAGGUCUGUCAUCUAACAACUGUGGGAUUUUGGAGGCCAGGAGGAAGGGAGUGUCUUGUCAAUGACUGUAGCCAUGGCAGAGCAGCACUGACACAGGUCCUGGCUUUGCUCCCCCAGGUGGCAUUUCCCUGGUUGUGACUGCUGGGCUAAACAACACCACUGGGGCAGCAAAAUGUCAGACCAACAAACAGGGGCUGGUGGGUUGCCUUUUCUCGAUCUGAUUUGACAGGAAUUUAUUCUGUGCCCUUACUUAAGCCUCCUAAUAGCCUCCUGAUUUAACUCUUUCCAAUAAAUGAAGAAACCUAU